CGCAUAACAGUAACGCACCCGUGCGCCCGGAUCACUCCAGGCCUGAAAGCAGCACGGGCCAAGUUCUCUCGGCCCGGUUCCCGGCCGGAACAGGAGGCCCCGGUGCCGGGCGUCCGGCUCGCCCCACGUUGCUCCCGCAUCCCCGCCUUCCUCGUCGGCCCUCCGCCCGCAGUCCCGCUUGGCGCCGCCUCGCGGAGGCCGCUGGGUGCAAGCUCGGGCGCCGCGGGGAGGGGGCGCUCCAGGGCGCGGGGCUGCCGGGCUGCGCGGGUCGGUGCGGCGGGAGGGCGGGGAGGGUGCGGGUCCGGGUCCGGGUGCGGGUGCGGCGCAGGGCUGGACGUGGGGAGCGGGGAAGGGCGGGGCGGGGGCGCGGGGGGCGGGGGGGCGGGGCGGGGGCACCGCCUCCCGCUGCCCGGGACCACCCCCCGCCCCGCCCCGCCCCUCCCGCCGGGACGUCCGUCUCGCCCCGCGCCCCCUCCUCCCCCCGGCGCCUCCCCCCGCCCUCCCCGGCUCCCACCUGGCGGGGGGGCGGUGCGCCCCGGGGCGGCGAGUGCGCGCGCGCGGCCGGCGCGCUGUCCCUUUAAACGGCCCGCGGCGCCUCCCCGCGCCCCGCCCGCCGCGGUGCGGCCGGUGCUGGGCGAGGCCGGAGAAAGUCCAUGUGAGCCGAGCGCGGGGACGCGACACUUCCUGCCGCCGCAGGCCGGACCGGGCCGGGCGCCCGCAGAUGCUGUGCGCUGCCCCGGAGAGCCGGGCUGGGUGCAGCUGAGCUGCGGCCGCCAAGCCCGGCGCGGAGACUCUGCCCUGCUCCUGCUGCUGCUGCUGCUGCUCCUCCUCCUCCUCCUCCUCCUCCUCCUCCUCCUCCUCCUGCUCUCCCGGCUCCUCGCGCCCUCCCCACCCCAAGGGCUCCCGCUCCGUUUGCUGCAUUCCCGGAGCAGCUGGCGAGCCUGCCCCUGCCAGACUGAGCGGGCAGUGCCGGGCCACCGGCGGCAGCCGCCGAAGGUAGGUCUCCCCUGCGGGCGGGCGCCGCGGGCUGGCCGGCAACUUCUCCGCAGCGGGGGCACUGCGGGCCCUCCCCCGGCGGCCACCCAUCUGCCCAACUCCAGUCGCCGGGGUCCGGGCGCUCCGCCCUCCCUCUGCCCUCCCUCCCCCCUGCCGCCCGGCGCCUCUGCGGCCGCCUGCACUUUCCUCCCGCGGGACAGAGCGGCCCUUUGUGCGGGCGCUGCUGUGCGGAGUUGGGCCGGCGCCUUCUCCACCCGGCCGGCACCAGCCCCCCUCCCGAGCCCUGGGCAGCAGAUCCGCCUCGCUGGAGCUCUGCCCCCGCCCUGGGGGCGCCCGGCGGCGGAGGCAGCGGCUCCCAGAGCCCUUGCCGGGUCUCUCCCCUGUCUCCCCCGACCCCUUUAGUCACCUGGGCUGGGAGCGAGCCAGCCAGGAUUGGCCAGCGUGGGGAGCCGGGGGACGGGGAGGGCGGGCAGAUGGGGCUGCGCCAGGCUCCCAGCAGCCGGUCCAGCCCUGUCCCUGACAGUGCCGGCGGCCUGGGGAGCCGGUCCCGGGGGAGGGGCCGCCUGACCUAGCUUCGGCUCCUUCCCCUGGGUGCCCCCACCCCUAGCCUUCUACCUCCACGGCAGCGGCCGGCAGGGCGGACGGGCGGCUUCUCAGCCAGUGGGGCGGGACCCUCCCCUUGCCGGCCCUCAGUCCGUCCGUCCGUGCGGCUGCUCUGAGGGAAAAGAAGACAAACCAGAAACCAAAAGCCUCCAGAAGGGCCCCUGCAGGACCCGCUGGCUCUGGGUGGUGGCCCCUCCCAGGGGAAGGGCUGUGAGGGGCUCCUCCGCCGCUAACUUUUUCUUGGGGAGAAGAGUUUGCAGACACGGCCUGCUGCCCUCUCCCCUCCUGGCAGCCGCGCGUGGCAGUGCCCUGUUCCAUGUUCCAUCCUCUCCGUCCUCUCCGUCCUCCUCAAGCGCAGGCCUCCGCUUCUGUCCCUGGCUUCUGCUCAGACGGGGCGUUCCUGCCCGAGGGUGCAGGCGCUGUCCUGGGGGUGGGCUCUGGGCGCCCCUCAAGGUGGGGGGAGCGUUCCGCAACUCCCCCUCCCGCCCCCGCCGGCCGGAGCGGGGCUGUGCAGCUCAGAGUCUGUGCAGUGCUGGCCACAAGCCCAGCCAGGGUCCCGCCCGGAGGAGCUUGGCCUCAGGACGUCCCCUGGGUUGCUCGCCCUGCUGGGGGGGCCCGGGAAGGGCACCGCAUGCGGGGCGGGGGGGCACGGACAUGCCGGGGUGGUGCAUUCCCAUAGGCUCGCUGGUGGACCCCGCCGUCCAGGAGCCUGACUGAGGUGUCC
RNAcentral lists this long non-coding RNA (2323 nucleotides) under Canis lupus familiaris (dog). RNAcentral describes it as "lncRNA (ENSCAFG00040017907.1)". Lineage: Eukaryota; Metazoa; Chordata; Mammalia; Carnivora; Canidae. The record is from RNAcentral.